CCUCACGCCCUCAAUAAAGGUAAAUUGGAGUAGUAGGUACAUAUAGUAUUCAUGGCACAUCACCACCACACCUUACAUACAGAGCUUCAGCUCUUUUGAGUUUUCUCUUGUGUUUCAACAUUCAUCUUACAAUAAUUACUGAUGAUCUAUAUAACUAUAUUGGUCGACCCAUAAGUUAGAGAAAACAUGGGUGUUAUCCAUGCAUGCGAAAGAGCAUGCACAUAAGUUAGGUGUCCGUUAAAACCUCCACAAAGCCUACGAAUUAUUAUAUAUGCACUAUUUUCAUUUCAUUUGUGAUUUGUUCUCACGUCCAACUCCUUUUUUUUUGCUACGCUGCUCUCUUCAUCGGUCGCUAGAGUUAGAUGACAAAAGUAUAUAUUGAGGCAUACAUUGCGAGUAUCGAAUUAUCGAUAUGCCUUCCCUACUUGGAAUGCAUGGUAUUGGGAAAUCAGACAUGACAAUCAUUGCUCUUAGUUCUAUUGUUCUUUGCCAGUCAUCCUGUUUUGUGCAGGCAAGUGAUCAGUGAAUUCUGGCAGGCAGAAACUAGAUGUUGGUUACACGACCUAGUUUACGAUAUCUUCAAAACCCAGUUGCGUGAUCAUGAGGUGUGCUAUUACUAUUAUAUCGACUCGAUUUGUAUAGAUUACACCUCACAAUGUGCAUAUGUACGAGUUUAUACUAUACUAUUCAAAACAAGGUAGAAAUGGACGUUUUUUUGGGAUACUAUUUUCAUUCCGUCGUUAAAAGUGGCAUCAAAUCUGCGAUUAUAAUGUAACACCAAAUCUGUAAUGUGCUACAUAUGGCAAGAAGGGGGCAUAAUUGCAUCUUGAGCAUUGGUUUCAUUUUUGGAUGAGCCUACGGAAAAAAAUGCCAGUCAUGUGAAAAUAGUUGUAAUCAUGGUUGAUCUGGAGAAGAUGACCUUGUAACACUGGAGAUGCCACACACAGUGGCUUCACCACCGAUGGCUGAGUACACAACCCUUGCUCAUGCGGACACAAGCACAUUUUCCCCACAAAAUUUGCGCUAUGCAACAGCGGCAUAUUGACAAUAUUACGUAUUACAAUCAACACCUUUGAUGUUUUUUUUUUGCAGGGAUCACCGGUACCCUUGAUGUCAACAAUAAAGGUUGGUAGGUAUCACGUGGUACUAUACUAAUUCACUGCAGAUCUCCACCACGCUUAUUUAUAUAUAGAGAGAGAAGAGAGGUGUGUGUAGCUCCUUUUAGUGUGCCCAUUCCCAUCAUGCAUCUCACAAUAGUCUUCAAUCCGACAAUAAAAGGCUAGUGGUCUUUGGUUUCAUCCAACUUCUUUCCCCACUGUUUAAACUCUUCAUCGGUAGAGCUAUAGGUGUUAGAAGUCUUGAGGCAUGAGUGGCAUUGGGACAUCAGACGUGAAUAGAUGUAUUUUGUAAUCCAGACCUUGCUGCAUACCUAGUCAGAUUUGCGAUCGAUUUUGCGCUGGUAGUAGCGCUCUUAUCAGAACCACCGAUAAUGUAUCAUGUGACCCUGAGCUGCAUGUCUCUUCAUGGUUCCAGGGGUGUACGAAGGGGGAGCAGAAAUGGACGUAAGCAAUAAAGAGGUCUUUACUGUUCAAAAAAGAGUAGGAAUGGACGUUCUUUCCGGAUAUUAUCUUUCCACAGUUAAAGGUGGUGUCAAAUCUGCAGUUGUAGUGUGUUGUGGCAUAUGGCGAGCAGAAGAACGAAGCUCACUUGCAUUCACAGGCGCACGGCAGCCACAAGCCCCCCUGCGCCCCCACAAAAUCUGAUCACGAGGCCAUGCCGGAUUCCCCUUUGCCAAUCGCCUGCGCCCACCUCACUUCCCCCUUAUCCCCGCCUCACCCAUCUCUUAUCCCCUCCCUCCUCUUACAAACCCACAAACUAAUUGGCCGCGCACGCGCCUCCCCUGAUCAGCCAGGAAGGAAUCCAACUCCCACCACACGCCCCCACGACGCGCGCGCCAGCAGCAAUGGCCGCCCUCGCCGCCUCCAUCGCCACGUCCACCGCCUUCGCCUCCAAGCCGCGCCUCUCCUCCCCCACCCCGCGCGCGCGGCUCUCCGUCUCCUGCUCCGCCACCGGCGACAACAACAACAACAACCCCUCUCUGGCCACCGCCGCCAAGACCUUCUCCGCGGCACUCGCCCUAUCCUCCGUGCUCCUCUCCUCGGCGGCCACCUUCUCCCCACCCCCGGCCGCCGCCGACAUCGCCGGCCUGACCCCGUGCAAGGACUCCAAGGCCUUCGCCAAGCGCGAGAAGCAGUCGGUCAA
This 2262-nucleotide long non-coding RNA is filed under the name Brachypodium distachyon (stiff brome). Its description in RNAcentral is "long non-coding RNA (BDIS_LNC000060)". Lineage: Eukaryota; Viridiplantae; Streptophyta; Magnoliopsida; Poales; Poaceae. The record is from RNAcentral.